RNAcentral lists this ribosomal RNA (543 nucleotides) under uncultured bacterium. Its description in RNAcentral is "bacterial SSU rRNA". It matches the Rfam family "Bacterial small subunit ribosomal RNA", at positions 777 to 1319 of the family's 1533-position model. The record is from RNAcentral.
AAUAGAUACCCGGGUAGUCCAUGCCGUAAACGUUGGGAACUAGGUGUGGGUCUCAUUCCACGAGAUCCGUGCCGCAGCUAACGCAUUAAGUUCCCCGCCUGGGGAGUACGGCCGCAAGGCUAAAACUCAAAGGAAUUGACGGGGGGCCCGCACAAGCGGCGGAGCAUGCGGAUUAAUUCGAUGCAACGCGAAGAACCUUACCAAGGCUUGACAUACACCGGAAACAUUCAGAGAUGGGUGCCCCGCAAGGUCGGUGUACAGGUGGUGCAUGGUUGUCGUCAGCUCGUGUCGUGAGAUGUUGGGUUAAGUCCCGCAACGAGCGCAACCCUCGUUCUAUGUUGCCAGCACGUGAUGGUGGGGACUCAUAGGAGACUGCCGGGGUCAACUCGGAGGAAGGUGGGGAUGACGUCAAAUCAUCAUGCCCCUUAUGUCUUGGGCUUCACGCAUGCUACAAUGGCCGGUACAAAGGGCUGCGAAACCGUGAGGUGGAGCGAAUCCCAAAAAACCGGUCUCAGUUCGGAUUGGGGUCUGCAACUCGACCCC